ACGGACGAGAAGCUUGCUUCUCUGAUGUUAGCGGCGGACGGGUGAGUAACACGUGGAUAACCUACCUAUAAGACUGGGAUAACUUCGGGAAACCGGAGCUAAUACCGGAUAAUAUUUUGAACCGCAUGGUUCAAAAGUGAAAGACGGUCUUGCUGUCACUUAUAGAUGGAUCCGCGCUGCAUUAGCUAGUUGGUAAGGUAACGGCUUACCAAGGCAACGAUGCAUAGCCGACCUGAGAGGGUGAUCGGCCACACUGGAACUGAGACACGGUCCAGACUCCUAUGGGAGGCAGCAGUAGGGAAUCUUCCGCAAUGGGCGAAAGCCUGACGGAGCAACGCCGCGUGAGUGAUGAAGGUCUUCGGAUCGUAAAACUCUGUUAUUAGGGAAGAACAUAUGUGUAAGUAACUGUGCACAUCUUGACGGUACCUAAUCAGAAAGCCACGGCUAACUACGUGCCAGCAGCCGCGGUAAUACGUAGGUGGCAAGCGUUAUCCGGAAUUAUUGGGCGUAAAGCGCGCGUAGGCGGUUUUUUAAGUCUGAUGUGAAAGCCCACGGCUCAACCGUGGAGGGUCAUUGGAAACUGGAAAACUUGAGUGCAGAAGAGGAAAGUGGAAUUCCAUGUGUAGCGGUGAAAUGCGCAGAGAUAUGGAGGAACACCAGUGGCGAAGGCGACUUUCUGGUCUGUAACUGACGCUGAUGUGCGAAAGCGUGGGGAUCAAACAGGAUUAGAUACCCUGGUAGUCCACGCCGUAAACGAUGAGUGCUAAGUGUUAGGGGGUUUCCGCCCCUUAGUGCUGCAGCUAACGCAUUAAGCACUCCGCCUGGGGAGUAC
This 832-nucleotide ribosomal RNA is filed under the name uncultured Staphylococcus sp. RNAcentral's name for it is "bacterial SSU rRNA". It matches the Rfam family "Bacterial small subunit ribosomal RNA", at positions 69 to 883 of the family's 1533-position model. Lineage: Bacteria; Bacillati; Bacillota; Bacilli; Caryophanales; Staphylococcaceae. The record is from RNAcentral.